Molecule: long non-coding RNA, 1797 nt
Organism: Carassius gibelio (silver crucian carp)
Lineage: Eukaryota; Metazoa; Chordata; Actinopteri; Cypriniformes; Cyprinidae
Exons: 3
Source: RefSeq, a predicted model, not a curated record
CAGUAUCGACCAACGUGGGCGCAACCAAUCAGAUAUAACUGCACCCAAAUGCUUCAGUAAUGUUUGCGAUUGAUCAAACGGUAAGUUCAGAAAUUGGUCAUCGGAGUAAUUAAUGUUUUUUUGCGUUGUAAGUUUGAUUUUAAUUGUUGUCUUGGUGAACGACUUUGCCUUCUUUGGUUUAAUUGUUCAAUGAAAUCUAAUUCGUGAGUGGUAGCAACGUUGUUUGUGUAUCUUGUUAGGGGCCUACCAUUAACUUCAAAUAAUUACGUUUGACGUACCAUUACAUAUUAACGUUUGUUGGUGUGUUAACAGUCUAUUGAAUAAUAUAAAAGAAUGUUGUUUGACUGGAAUGAUAGAAGAUAAAUGUGCAACACUAACCAUAUAUUUUUGCAUGUUUAGUCUUUCAGGAGAUCGUGUGAUAUACAUUAACUUAAGAGUUCUUAAAAGAAGAAUCCUUUUUUUUUUUUUUUUUUGCAUUAUUGAGGUGUGUUUUCUCUAAUACUAUGCAUGUGCAGUAUGUGCAGAACUGUUCUGUGUACCAGUUGAAGUUGUAAGCAUGUGAAUGCAAAACUUUUUUUUUUUUUAAAUCUAUACAAAAUAUAAUGGACCGGUUCAUAAUUCCUUAUAACUUUUAAGUCUAGUUUCACAGACAGGGCUUGGAUUAAGCCAGGAUUAGGCUGUAGUUAAAUUUAGAACAUUGAAGUAGCUUUUGUAAACAUGCAUUUAGGGAAGAAAAAAAAAAAAUACUGAUGUGCAUCUUGAGACAAAACCAUGGCACUGACACCUUCUUCUUUUUUUUUUUUUUCUUUUUUUUUGUAAUACCCAAUAGUUGCCAGAUGCUGUCCUGUUGGAAAUUCUUCUUUACGUGAUCCUGGAGGAGGGUGAUGCUACAUUAUUAAGUCUGUCUUUGGUUUGUUCCAAAUUCAGAAGUCUGUUGUACUAUAUACAGACUCCUUUCGAAAGAGGGCACAAUCCAGCUGGCUUGACGGAGUAUUUUCUUUUACAUAUUUGAUUAGAGGUUUAAAAAGGUGGAACAAAAUGGAGAACAAGUCUAAGCCAUGUCAGGAAUUCAACAAAAUGUACACCCUGCAGACACUGCGACGAGGUUUACAACAACUGCUUAUCAGGUCACUGCAGUCACCCGGAUCCAGUACGUAUCUAGACCAGAUGGUGGAUCGCACCUAGAAAGGACCUCUACAGCCCUGAAAGACAGCGGAGACCAGGACAACUAGAGCCCCAGAUACAGAUCCCCUGUAAAGACUUUGUUUUUUCUCCAUUUUGUCACCGGUGGAGUUUUUGGUUCCUUGUCGCCUCUGGCUUGCUUCGUUGUGAUCACUUCAUUUACAGUGAUAUCAUUGACAUGAUUGCAAACGAUUCCACAGAUACUAUUUAAACUGAACCAAGCUGAAGGAUGACAUCACUGAAUUCAAUGAUAAACUGCCUUUUAAACUGACUAAAAACUGAGUUUACUAAUGUCCUUCUGCAUUAUUGACUGACACACUAUUUUCCUAUUUAAUACUGUAAAGUUGCUUUGAUCUGUAUUAUUAAAAGCACUAUAUAAAUAAACAAUGCUUGACUUGACCAUGUUGCAGGAGGAAAAUGAGGAGAGAUGCACAUCCAUCCUGGGUUUUACAGUGAUUGGUGCAAGAUGCUGGAGAAGUAACUCCGUAUACCUCAUCAUUUCUGAUCUAAGAGUCUUGAAAAUACCUCCGGAUUGUUGUUAGUGAUUCUGAUUGAUAUUUUAGUCUGCUUGCUUACUGGAUAUAUUUUAUACUGUUUACAUUGUAAAGCACUGAC